CCUACGGGAGGCAGCAGUGAGGAAUAUUGGUCAAUGGACGAAAGUCUGAACCAGCCAUGUAGCGUGCAGGAUGACGGCCCUAUGAGUUGUAAACUGCUUUUGUAAGAGGAUAAACCCAGACACGUGUAUCUGUCUGAAAGUACUGUACGAAUAAGGAUCGGCUAACUCCGUGCCAGCAGCCGCGGUAAUACGGAGGAUUCAAGCGUUAUCCGGAUUUAUUGGGUUUAAAGGGUGCGUAGACGGUCAGUUAAGUCAGAUGUGAAAGCUCGAGGCUCAACUUCGGAAUUGCCUCUGAUACUGGUCGUCUAGAGAAUAGUUGCGGUAGGCGGAAUGUAUGGUGUAGCGGUGAAAUGCUUAGAGAUCAUACAGAACACCGAUUGCGAAGGCAGCUUACCAAGCUACGUCUGACGUUGAGGCACGAAAGCGUGGGGAGCAAACAGGAUUAGAUACCCUUGUAGUC
This 460-nucleotide ribosomal RNA is filed under the name uncultured bacterium. Its description in RNAcentral is "partial 16S ribosomal RNA". It matches the Rfam family "Bacterial small subunit ribosomal RNA", at positions 338 to 795 of the family's 1533-position model. The record is from RNAcentral.